This 596-nucleotide long non-coding RNA is filed under the name Elaeis guineensis (African oil palm). RNAcentral's name for it is "long non-coding RNA (EGUI_LNC073575)". The record is from RNAcentral. Lineage: Eukaryota; Viridiplantae; Streptophyta; Magnoliopsida; Arecales; Arecaceae.
GGAAGAAGAGCUCGAGAACGAUCGGUGGGAAGGGGAGAUGGGGUGCUUUCUGUGCGCCGGAGAGCCGAACAAGAAGGGCAAGGAGAAGGAUCAGAUCCCACCGGCUUCAGGUGCUUGGAAUCCAUAGCAAAUUUGUCUUUUAUUUUUUUCGUUUCAUUUGCUUCAUUGGUUGUUUUUAUAUCGGUCGAGUCGGCUUGGCAUGGCAGCUUCUUCCAAUUUUUGUGUUCUCGGAUAUGGAUUUUGGGUCGGAUGGCUCCGGAUUCCAGUUGAAAGUUAGGGUUUGCCGAGGGGUGUCACUCGAUCUGUAGGUGUUCUUUUUUUAGGACUUCAUGAAUUUUUUCUCUGAAGAUUGGAUGUUGAGUUGGGGUUUGGCGUUUCGAGGGAACUCCUUCAUCUAUGUGAUGGUUUUGAUUGACUCGAUGAGCGUAAAGGUGAUGACUUUGAUAAGGCUUGAGCGGAGACGAUUGCUCCAAUUGUCUAUAUAAAUAUUUGGUUUUUCUUAUAACCAUUCGCUUGGAAAUAGAUUUCCUGUUGCUUCUAUAGGAUGAGCUUUUCUUUUUCUGUUGGUCGAUGAUUAGCUCGUUUAAACUGGGGUG